RNAcentral lists this ribosomal RNA (253 nucleotides) under uncultured bacterium. RNAcentral's name for it is "partial 16S ribosomal RNA". It matches the Rfam family "Bacterial small subunit ribosomal RNA", at positions 524 to 776 of the family's 1533-position model. The record is from RNAcentral.
UACGGGGGGGGCAAGCGUUGUUCGGAAUUACUGGGCGUAAAGCGCGUGUAGGCGGCUCUUCAAGUCGAGUGUGAAAGCUCCAGGCUUAACCUGGGAAUUGCGCUCGAUACUGUUGAGCUAGAGUGUGGAAGGGGCUACUGGAAUUCCGUGUGUAGCGGUGAAAUGCGUAGAUAUACGGAGGAACACCUGCGGCGAAGGCGACUUCCUGGCCUGUUCUUGACGCUGAGGCGCGAAAGCUAGGGGAGCAAACGGG